GAUGAACGCUGGCGGCGUGCCUAAUACAUGCAAGUCGAGCGAACAGACGAGGAGCUUGCUCCUCUGACGUUAGCGGCGGACGGGUGAGUAACACGUGGAUAACCUACCUAUAAGACUGGGAUAACUUCGGGAAACCGGAGCUAAUACCGGAUAAUAUAUUGAACCGCAUGGUUCAAUAGUGAAAGACGGUUUUGCUGUCACUUAUAGAUGGAUCCGCGCCGCAUUAGCUAGUUGGUAAGGUAACGGCUUACCAAGGCAACGAUGCGUAGCCGACCUGAGAGGGUGAUCGGCCACACUGUAACUGAGAAACGGUCCAGACUCCUACGGGAGGAAGCAGUAGGGAAUCUUCCGCAAUGGGCGAAAGCCUGACGGAGCAACGCCGCGUGAGUGAUGAAGGUCUUCGGAUCGUAAAACUCUGUUAUUAGGGAAGAACAAAUGUGUAAGUAACUAUGCACGUCUUGACGGUACCUAAUCAGAAAGCCACGGCUAACUACGUG
This 497-nucleotide ribosomal RNA is filed under the name uncultured bacterium. Its description in RNAcentral is "partial 16S ribosomal RNA". It matches the Rfam family "Bacterial small subunit ribosomal RNA", at positions 28 to 507 of the family's 1533-position model. The record is from RNAcentral.